GUACCAAAUACAUUUUUAAGCUGUUUUUAACUAAUGACAAAUAUAUGAGCCAAAUCUCAACGAUUUUCCACCUUGGCGAAUGUACCAUGCAAAAAUCCUUGCAUCCAUCCCAAAAUACGCCUUCAAACACAUACCAGCAUGCACACCCUGAAUCAGUUAUGUCUGGAUUCACAAUAUACAGCCAAUGCAUGUGCAGCUGUUGCAAGCUAAAAAUCGUCAUUUAGCUUCAGACAAGGGUCUCGACAUACCCUCGUCUCGACCAACAGGAUUUCUCCCUCAUCAUUAUCUACAACCUGAAAACUGGUCAGCGCGCUCGUUUCCAGAAACAACCCAUCGAGUUCGUGGUUCUACCACCCAGGCAAUAUACACCACACUUCCUCCUUUCCCCCAGGAGCAUCGCUUUGUCCACGUGUCUUAACCUCAUUAGGUGGUAUUCUUUUUUUUAAUAAGGUUCUAUUCAGAUUUUUUUCUUCUUUGUUUGGAGAGAUGGUUGUGCUUCGGUCGAAGCGUCAUUGGAGGGAGGAGGACAGAGGGACUGACAGAUUGGAGAGAGAUGGGAGCUAGGGGUUUCGACUCAGUGAGAGAGAUUUAGCUAGGUCCUCUGCCAUAACCUAUGGGAUUUCCUCCAAUUUUAGAGAGAGAGGGAGGGGGGAAGGCAUGGUUGUGUGCAGUUUGUGGGGUUAGCCGGUCAGGAAGGGGUGACUGAGGGAGGUAUGAGAGAGUUUGAUUUUUCGGUUUCCUCCCUUAAUUCAAAAGCUCCAGACCGACUUACUCCACUCUCUCUCUCUCUCUGUGAUUCUGGGUUCUGUACGUUCUGCCAUUUUUGCUUCUGAAGAUACCUAAUUGCAGGAUUUCAUUUACCGUUUACAAGUCAACCGCACAAUGCCAAAGUACAAGAAAAGCGAAGAUUUGAG
Non-coding RNA from Malus domestica (apple), 914 nucleotides. NCBI's taxonomy places the organism in Eukaryota, Viridiplantae, Streptophyta, Magnoliopsida, Rosales, Rosaceae. The record is from RefSeq and is a predicted model, not a curated record.